Molecule: transfer RNA, 65 nt
Filed under: Typhlatya mitchelli
Lineage: Eukaryota; Metazoa; Arthropoda; Malacostraca; Decapoda; Atyidae
Description: tRNA-Arg
Source: RNAcentral
GAUUGGAAAGCGAAGAAAUCGCAUUUAGUUUCGGCCUAAACCUUGGUGCCAUCCACCUCCAAUUU